AUACGUAGGAGACAAGCGUUAUCCGGAUUUACUGGGCGUAAAGGGCGUGUAGGCGGUCUUGCAAGUCAGAAGUGAAAUUCCUGAGCUCAACUCGGGCGCUGCUUCUGAAACUGCAGGACUUGAGUGCUGGAGGGGAUAGCGGAAUUCCUAGUGGAGCGGUAAAAUGCGCAGAUAUUAGGAAGAACACCGGUGGCGAAGGCGGGUCUCUGGGCAGUAACUGACGCUGAGGAGCGAAAGCAUGGGUAGCGAACAGGAUUAGAUACCCUGGUAGUCCAUGCCGUAAACGAUGAAUACUAGGUGUAGGGGGUAUCGACUCCCUCUGUGCCGCAGUUAACACAAUAAGUAUUCCGCCUGGGGAGUACGGCCGCAAGGUUGAAACUCAAAGGAAUUGGCGGGG
RNAcentral lists this ribosomal RNA (397 nucleotides) under uncultured bacterium. RNAcentral describes it as "partial 16S ribosomal RNA". It matches the Rfam family "Bacterial small subunit ribosomal RNA", at positions 523 to 918 of the family's 1533-position model. The record is from RNAcentral.